RNAcentral lists this ribosomal RNA (2917 nucleotides) under Vibrio metoecus. RNAcentral's name for it is "bacterial LSU rRNA". It matches the Rfam family "Bacterial large subunit ribosomal RNA". The record is from RNAcentral. Lineage: Bacteria; Pseudomonadati; Pseudomonadota; Gammaproteobacteria; Vibrionales; Vibrionaceae.
GUUGUAUGGUUAAGUGACUAAGCGUACACGGUGGAUGCCUGGGCAGUCAGAGGCGAUGAAGGACGUACUAACUUGCGAUAAGCGCAGAUAAGGCAGUAAGAGCCGUUUGAGUCUGCGAUUUCCGAAUGGGGAAACCCAACUGCAUAAGCAGUUACUGUUAACUGAAUACAUAGGUUAACAGAGCAAACCGGGGGAACUGAAACAUCUAAGUACCCCGAGGAGAAGAAAUCAACCGAGAUUCCGGUAGUAGCGGCGAGCGAACCUGGAUUAGCCCUUAAGCACUCGGUGAAGUAGGUGAACAAGCUGGAAAGCUUGGCGAUACAGGGUGAUAGCCCCGUAACCGACGCUUCAUCGAGCGUGAAAUCGAGUAGGGCGGGACACGUGAUAUCCUGUCUGAAUAUGGGGGGACCAUCCUCCAAGGCUAAAUACUCCUGACUGACCGAUAGUGAACCAGUACCGUGAGGGAAAGGCGAAAAGAACCCCUGUGAGGGGAGUGAAAUAGAACCUGAAACCGUGUACGUACAAGCAGUAGGAGCACCUUCGUGGUGUGACUGCGUACCUUUUGUAUAAUGGGUCAGCGACUUAUAUUCAGUGGCAAGGUUAACCGUAUAGGGGAGCCGUAGCGAAAGCGAGUCUUAACUGGGCGCUCAGUCUCUGGAUAUAGACCCGAAACCGGGUGAUCUAGCCAUGGGCAGGUUGAAGGUUGAGUAACAUCAACUGGAGGACCGAACCGACUAAUGUUGAAAAAUUAGCGGAUGACUUGUGGCUAGGGGUGAAAGGCCAAUCAAACUCGGAGAUAGCUGGUUCUCCCCGAAAGCUAUUUAGGUAGCGCCUCGGACGAAUACUACUGGGGGUAGAGCACUGUUAAGGCUAGGGGGUCAUCCCGACUUACCAACCCUUUGCAAACUCCGAAUACCAGUAAGUACUAUCCGGGAGACACACGGCGGGUGCUAACGUCCGUCGUGGAGAGGGAAACAACCCAGACCGCCAGCUAAGGUCCCAAAGUAUUGCUAAGUGGGAAACGAUGUGGGAAGGCUCAGACAGCUAGGAUGUUGGCUUAGAAGCAGCCAUCAUUUAAAGAAAGCGUAAUAGCUCACUAGUCGAGUCGGCCUGCGCGGAAGAUGUAACGGGGCUAAGCAAUACACCGAAGCUGCGGCAAUGAAGUUUACUUCAUUGGGUAGGGGAGCGUUCUGUAAGCCGUUGAAGGUGAAUCGUAAGGUUUGCUGGAGGUAUCAGAAGUGCGAAUGCUGACAUGAGUAACGACAAGGGGGGUGAAAAACCUCCCCGCCGGAAGACCAAGGGUUCCUGUCCAACGUUAAUCGGGGCAGGGUGAGUCGACCCCUAAGGCGAGGCCGAAAGGCGUAGUCGAUGGGAAACGGGUUAAUAUUCCCGUACUCAAUCAAAUUGCGAUGGGGGGACGGAGAAGGCUAGGUGGGCCAGGCGACGGUUGUCCUGGUUCAAGUGCGUAGGCUUAAGAGUUAGGUAAAUCCGGCUCUUUCUAAGGCUGAGACACGACGUCGAGCACCUACGGGUGUGAAGUCAUUGAUGCCAUGCUUCCAGGAAAAGCCUCUAAGCUUCAGAUUUGAUGGAAUCGUACCCCAAACCGACACAGGUGGUCGGGUAGAGAAUACCAAGGCGCUUGAGAGAACUCGGGUGAAGGAACUAGGCAAAAUGGUACCGUAACUUCGGGAGAAGGUACGCUCUUGAUGGUGAAGUCCCUCGCGGAUGGAGCUGACGAGAGUCGCAGAUACCAGGUGGCUGCAACUGUUUAUUAAAAACACAGCACUGUGCAAAAUCGCAAGAUGACGUAUACGGUGUGACGCCUGCCCGGUGCCGGAAGGUUAAUUGAUGGGGUUAGCGCAAGCGAAGCUCUUGAUCGAAGCCCCGGUAAACGGCGGCCGUAACUAUAACGGUCCUAAGGUAGCGAAAUUCCUUGUCGGGUAAGUUCCGACCUGCACGAAUGGCGUAAUGAUGGCCACGCUGUCUCCACCCGAGACUCAGUGAAAUUGAAAUCGCUGUGAAGAUGCAGUGUACCCGCGGCUAGACGGAAAGACCCCGUGAACCUUUACUACAGCUUGGCACUGAACAUUGAACCUACAUGUGUAGGAUAGGUGGGAGGCUAUGAAGACGUGACGCUAGUUGCGUUGGAGCCGUCCUUGAAAUACCACCCUUGUAUGUUUGAUGUUCUAACUUAGACCCAUUAUCUGGGUUGAGGACAGUGCCUGGUGGGUAGUUUGACUGGGGCGGUCUCCUCCCAAAGAGUAACGGAGGAGCACGAAGGUGGGCUAAUCACGGUUGGACAUCGUGAGGUUAGUGCAAUGGCAUAAGCCCGCUUAACUGCGAGAAUGACGGUUCGAGCAGGUGCGAAAGCAGGUCAUAGUGAUCCGGUGGUUCUGUAUGGAAGGGCCAUCGCUCAACGGAUAAAAGGUACUCCGGGGAUAACAGGCUGAUACCGCCCAAGAGUUCAUAUCGACGGCGGUGUUUGGCACCUCGAUGUCGGCUCAUCACAUCCUGGGGCUGAAGUCGGUCCCAAGGGUAUGGCUGUUCGCCAUUUAAAGUGGUACGCGAGCUGGGUUUAGAACGUCGUGAGACAGUUCGGUCCCUAUCUGCCGUGGGCGUUGGAAGAUUGAAGGGGGCUGCUCCUAGUACGAGAGGACCGGAGUGGACGAACCUCUGGUGUUCGGGUUGUGUCGCCAGACGCAUUGCCCGGUAGCUAAGUUCGGAAUCGAUAACCGCUGAAAGCAUCUAAGCGGGAAGCGAGCCCUGAGAUGAGUCUUCCCUGACGGUUUAACCGUCCUAAAGGGUUGUUCGAGACUAGAACGUUGAUAGGCAGGGUGUGUAAGCGUUGUGAGGCGUUGAGCUAACCUGUACUAAUUGCCCGUGAGGCUUAACCAUACAACACCCAAGGGGUUUUGUA